RNAcentral lists this ribosomal RNA (400 nucleotides) under uncultured bacterium. Its description in RNAcentral is "bacterial SSU rRNA". It matches the Rfam family "Bacterial small subunit ribosomal RNA", at positions 356 to 773 of the family's 1533-position model. The record is from RNAcentral.
GGGGAAUAUUGCACAAUGGAGGAAACUCUGAUGCAGCAACGCCGCGUGAGUGAUGAAGGUCUUCGGAUUGUAAAGCUCUGUCUUCUGGGACGAUAAUGACGGUACCAGAGGAGGAAGCCACGGCUAACUACGUGCCAGCAGCCGCGGUAAUACGUAGGUAGCAAGCGUUGUCCGGAUUUACUGGGCGUAAAGGAUGUGUAGGCGGAUAUUUAAGUGAGAUGUGAAAUCCCCGGGCUUAACUUGGGGGCUGCAUUUCAAACUGGAUGUCUAGAGUGCAGUAGAGGAAAGCAGAAUUCCUAGUGCAGCGGUGAAAUGCGUAGAGAUUAGGAAGAAUACCAGUGGCGAAGGCGGCUCUCUGGUCUGUAACUGACGCUGAGGCGCGAAAGCGUGGGGAGCAAAC